Molecule: ribosomal RNA, 301 nt
Filed under: uncultured bacterium
Lineage: Bacteria
Description: partial 16S ribosomal RNA
Rfam family: Bacterial small subunit ribosomal RNA
Source: RNAcentral
CAGUCGCCGCGGGAAAACGAAGGGUGCAAGCGUUACUCGGAAUUACUGGGCGUAAAGCGUGUGUAGGUGGUUGUUUAAGUCUGUCGUGAAAGCCCUGGGCUCAACCUGGGAAUGGCGAUGGAUACUGGGCGACUAGAGUGCGGUAGAGGAUAGUGGGAUUUCCGGUGUAGCAGUGAAAUGCGUAGAGAUCGGAAGGAACAUCUGUGGCGAAGGCGACUAUCUGGGCCAACACUGACACUGAGACACGAAAGCGUGGGGAGCAAACAGGAUUAGAUACCCGUGUAGUCCCUGUCUCUUAUAC